CAAAUGGACGCCAUCUUGCUAACAUGCUAACUGUUGGCGCUAACAUUAGCAUAGUUCGAGGACAAAAAUAAAUAACCAACCAAGGAAUACCAGAUCACUUAACUACUAACUGUUUCAAGUUUUAACAUCUGCCGGUACUUGAUCAUCUCCUCUAUCCUCCAGCACUCCUGACUCAUCUCCGCUCUGUCUCCCUGUGGCAUCCACGGGCCGACUCACAAGAGCUCUGUGACAUAUGGAAGACAUCACAGGCCUGGACUUCCAUCUGUGUCGGCAGUCGAGCCCUGCUGGCACCCACCAGUCACUGCGCAGGAAGAGAAUAAUCCAGGACAGAGGAGUUGUGAUAAGAGGAGUCCGAAUCCCUUGAGGACAAGAUUUCAGCGUUGGGGGAGGGGAUGGAUGUUGUCAUGAUGUGCAAAAUCUCGCCGCAGUUUGCAGAAAACAGGUGCCCGGCAGCUCAGUGGGGUUCAGCUGGGUUUACUAGGGCUCAGUUUCUGCAACUAAUACCCCAUACACGACCAAAACUGCACCACUUCCUUGUUUUACAUCAGCCUGUAACAAACUGUAAAUGUAAGCGACACAUUCUUCUGCCUUGGAAUUUAAACAGUUUGCAAAUGUACGUUUCCUGCCCUGCAG
Cottoperca gobio is the source of this 633-nucleotide long non-coding RNA. RefSeq lists it as uncharacterized. Lineage: Eukaryota; Metazoa; Chordata; Actinopteri; Perciformes; Bovichtidae. The record is from RefSeq and is a predicted model, not a curated record. The transcript is spliced from 3 exons.